Molecule: non-coding RNA, 615 nt
Organism: Corylus avellana
Lineage: Eukaryota; Viridiplantae; Streptophyta; Magnoliopsida; Fagales; Betulaceae
Source: RefSeq, a predicted model, not a curated record
CCUCUCUCUAUCUCUCGCUCUCUCAGCAGCCGCUUCAAUUUUCAGAUGAAAUCCUAGAUCAAAACACUCUCUAUCUCUUUCUCUUUCAUUGAUUUUUGUUUGACUGUGAUAGAUUUUGGCUUGAUUGUUUGUACAUUGGGUAUGAGUUUGAAGGUCUUCCUCUCGGAUUCUAAGUUUGAGGGUUUUCCAUCUUCGUGAAAGCCGAUCGCCCAAAGUAUCGAAACCACGACAAUAUGUGCUAAAUGACAAAGGUUAGGUUUCAAUCUUCUAAGUUAUUUGCAUAACAGUAUAGAAUGACAUAAUGACAUAGAAAAUCUCAUAAAAUUGUGUGGUGUUGGCAGACUGGCAGCUGGUGGCUAGGUUGUAGUUUGUAGUCUCUUUAGAUGAAUUUUGCCUUUUGAUCAUUUCACGCAUUUAAGUCAUUUGUAAAUUCUUCAAUUUCAUUUGUAAUUCUAGUUGUAAUUUUGUUUGUAAUUUAAUUCUUCAAUUUGAUUUGUAAUUCUGUUUGUUUUUGUUUGUCAUUUAAUUUGUUUUCUUCCAUUUGAAGUUGAUUGUAAUUUGGAAGGCCUAAUUUCAUGUUUUUAUAAUUUCUGCAAUAAGCAAGUUCUUAUUUUU